Long non-coding RNA from Oreochromis aureus, 1673 nucleotides. RefSeq lists it as uncharacterized. NCBI's taxonomy places the organism in Eukaryota, Metazoa, Chordata, Actinopteri, Cichliformes, Cichlidae. The record is from RefSeq and is a predicted model, not a curated record. The transcript is spliced from 5 exons.
UAGUGAAUGUACAGCAGUUAGACAGUGAUUAGAAGGCAACUAUAGCCAGUGUGGUUGAGCAGAGCUUGUGAGAGAGUGGACUUCUGAGAGUGAGUGACUGAGGUGUGCUAGUUGGUUUGUGUGGUGUGUCUUUGAGUCUGUGUGUUUGUGGUACAGUGGAGUAGGUAGAUAGGUGGACAGGUGUAGGUGAGGGAAAUGGAUCCCAAAAUUGUGAGGGAGCUUCUGGAGUUCAAACUCCACAAUCGCUAUCCUGAAGGAACAACCAGCAGGGAAAGGUUUACAAUCAAGAGAAGAGCUGAGACCUUCAGGAUAAAUGCUGAGUACAAUGGAUAAUGUCAUGUAAACCAUCAGAGUGUAGUAUUGUGCUGUAAUGUGAUCAUUUCUUUUUUUUUUCUGUUUUUUCUUGUCUUGCCUUACAUGCUUAAUGUAGAUGGAGACCUGUAUUAUAUAUGCAGGCGGAAGAAGAACAAAACUGAGCACCUGGCGAAAGUGGUCUGCUCUGCCAAAGAGGCAAAUGACAAUUUCAUUCCUGCCACUUUGGUGAACACUGUGGAUGGGAGAAGACCCACAGUGCUGUCAUGGCACACUAUUACUGGCCUGGCAUGGAGGGGGACAUUAAAAAAUGGGGGAGCACAUUUUGUCUGAAUGAGCCUCAAACUCAUUUUGAAAAUCCCCCUUUUUUGUUUGUUUGUUUUUCUGUUGUUUGUUUUUGUCUUUUGUUUGUACUUUGUUGCUCCUGUCUAACCCAUAUUACCUACAGCUCUAAGGCAUUUUGCUGAUUAUUAGCAUGUAAUGUUACUUCAUUUGUCAAUAGGUUGCUCAGUACCCACAAUGCCAGUGUAAGCGGGCCAAUAUUAAGGAAAAGAAAGGAUACAUUCCAAUCGAGGUCACGGAGCCCUUUGAGCUCGUUGGAAUGGAUCUUGUGGGUAAACUAACCUUAAUGGAUGGUGGUAAUCAAUAUAUUUGUGUAAUGGUUGACUAUUUCACCAAAUGGGCAGAGACCUACCACUGAAAAACAAAACUGCAGAUGAGGUCACCAGUUGUAUUCUGGAUUUUUUUUUACAAAUUUGGUGCACCUAAAACUGCUAACAGACCAGGGCUCAGAGUUUUGCAACAAGGUCAACUAUGGCUUGUGUAAAACCCUGGGCAUCCAAAGAAGCCUCUGCUCACCAUUCCAUCCCCAAACCAAUGGCACAAGAUUAAAUGGAACAAUCCAGAGAUCCCUCAAUAAACUGGUGAGUGAAGAGCCCAAGAACUGGGACAAAUUUCUGCAGUCCACCAUGUUUGGACUGAGGACAAAAAAGCAGCUGACUACAAAAUACAGCCCAUAUUUCCUCAUGUUUGGCAGAGAGGCAAGGUAUCCAUCGGAGAUCCCAAAGGAAUACAAGAUUACAGAAGACAUGGUCACUAAAGUAAUUUCAAAUGAAGACGUGUGUGAGGGCCUACAAACCCAGGAGGUGGUAUACGCUGAAGUAAUCAAAAAUGUUAAAACCAUCCAAGACAAAAUCCGCAGGGGAAAGGCAAAAAGGGGAGAGGAGGAUGGCUUUCAGGUGGGAGACCUGGUUUUGUGCAAAAAUGUGAGGCAAGAGCAGAGAAAAGGCCAUCACUGGUGCAGUCUUGCUGUGACCCCAUAAAUGGUGAGUAAGCAGACAAUGAACAAAUGAUAUGUCUGA